Long non-coding RNA from Temnothorax curvispinosus, 377 nucleotides. RefSeq lists it as uncharacterized. The transcript is spliced from 3 exons. NCBI's taxonomy places the organism in Eukaryota, Metazoa, Arthropoda, Insecta, Hymenoptera, Formicidae. The record is from RefSeq and is a predicted model, not a curated record.
AGAUUUUAGUAGAAGAAGUUUGAGUGCUACAUUUUCUGAUGACUUAGCCUCCAUGUGUUCAUGGACUGGCCAAAAAAAUAAUUAUAAAAUUGGAGAUACGCACACAAUUCUGAGCAUUAAAAGAGCUUUUAGAGCAAUAUUACCUCGGAAUACAGAAAAAGAUUUUGAACACUUUGUAAUGGAGUGGUUCAGAUUCGCAAACGUCCGUAAGGAAAGAAAAAAACAUUAGGAAGUGAUAAAUACAUUAACUUACUUGCGUGACUCCGCGCGAGUGAUUAUUAUAGUAACAAAUUUUUUUAUUUGAAAGAUGAGCUUUAUCCCAAAACCUUCCGCUAGGAUCAGUGAUCUUCACCAAAGAUAUUAUUGUAAUAAACUGA